RNAcentral lists this ribosomal RNA (253 nucleotides) under uncultured bacterium. Its description in RNAcentral is "partial 16S ribosomal RNA". It matches the Rfam family "Bacterial small subunit ribosomal RNA", at positions 524 to 776 of the family's 1533-position model. The record is from RNAcentral.
GACAGAGGGUGCAAACGUUGCUCGGAAUCACUGGGCGUAAAGGGCGUGUAGGCGGGAAGGAAAGUCAGAUGUGAAAUCCCUGGGCUCAACCCAGGAACUGCAUUUGAAACUCCCUUUCUUGAGUACCGGAGAGGAAGGUGGAAUUCCUGGUGUAGAGGUGAAAUUCGUAGAUAUCAGGAGGAACACCAGUGGCGAAGGCGGCCUUCUGGGCGGUGACUGACGCUGAGACGCGAAAGCGUGGGGAGCAAACAGG